This 798-nucleotide long non-coding RNA is filed under the name Homo sapiens (human). RNAcentral describes it as "long non-coding RNA NONHSAT160543.1". Lineage: Eukaryota; Metazoa; Chordata; Mammalia; Primates; Hominidae. The record is from RNAcentral.
CUCAGCUGCUGCGGCAAUGGCUGGCUGGCAGCCCAGCUGCACCAGGGCCGUGUGGACGUGGACGCCACCCAGGACCUGAUCUGCCGCUUCAGCUCCCAGGAGGAGGUGUCCCUGAGCCACGUGCGUCCCGAGGACUGUGAGAAGGGGGGACUGAAGAACAUCAACCUCAUCAUCAUCCUCACCUUCAUACUGGUCUCUGCCAUCCUCCUCACCACGCUGGCCGCCUGCUGCUGCGUCCGCCGGCAGAAGUUUAACCAACAGUAUAAAGCCUAAAGAAGCCGGGAGACACUCUAGGUAAAAAGCCUCACCCAGAUGACCCCCAUCCCUCAUACCAUGGAGUCAUGAGCUGUCUGGGAAGAAUGGACGUGCUGGGACCAACUCAAGACCUUGUUUUGCUGUCUUCAUCAUCUUACCUGUGCUUGGCCCACAGUCUGGCUCAUGAUGUGGGCUCAGUAAUGUGCGAGAAAGUGAAAAUGCCACUCUCUCCACCCCAUUUUACAGAGGAGAACACCAAGGCCCAGAGGAAGUUAAGGGAGAGUCAAUGGGCAGAGCCAGGGCUAGGCCCUGGUGGUGUGUGGAGCACCCAGGCAGACCCAGUCCUGGUUGGGAUCACACCCACGGGUGCUACUGCACGUAACACUCCUCCUUAGGCCUGGAGGCCAAGGUGUGGGUCCCCACGCCUGAUCUUUGAAAACACUACACAGGGCUGCUGUCACUUCCCAGGGCCCAGGCCUCAGCCCAGGCCUCGGGACCAACUCUUUGUAUAACCUACCUGAAUGUAUUAAAAACUAAUUUUGG